Molecule: ribosomal RNA, 494 nt
Filed under: uncultured bacterium
Lineage: Bacteria
Description: partial 16S ribosomal RNA
Rfam family: Bacterial small subunit ribosomal RNA
Source: RNAcentral
GACGAACGCUGGCGGCGUGCUUAACACAUGCAAGUCGAACGGUGAAGCGCCUUCCUUUUUGGUGGGUGUGGAUGAGUGGCGAACGGGUGAGUAACACGUGAGUAACCUGCCCCCUUCUUCUGGAUAACCGCAUGAAAGUGUGGCUAAUACGGGAUAUUCUGGGUCUGUCGCAUGAUGGGUCUGGGAAAGAUAUUGUUUCGGUGGGGGAUGGGCUCGCGGCCUAUCAGCUUGUUGGUGGGGUGAUGGCCUACCAAGGCGGUGACGGGUAGCCGGCCUGAGAGGGUGGACGGUCACGCUGGGACUGAGACACGGCCCAGACUCCUACGGGAGGCAGCAGUGGGGAAUAUUGCACAAUGGGAGCAAGCCUGAUGCAGCGACGCCGCGUGAGGGAUGGAGGCCUUCGGGUUGUGAACCUCUUUCGCCAGUGAAGCAGGCCUGCCUCGUUUGUGGGUGGGUUGACGGUAGCUGGAUAAGAAGCGCCGGCUAACUACGUG